RNAcentral lists this unclassified non-coding RNA (455 nucleotides) under Hevea brasiliensis (rubber tree). The record is from RNAcentral. Lineage: Eukaryota; Viridiplantae; Streptophyta; Magnoliopsida; Malpighiales; Euphorbiaceae.
AAGCAAGUUUAAAUUGUUUUCAUAAGAGAACAUGACCACAAUAACUUUUAUUUGGACUUCUUUUCCAACUACUAAAACUCAUGUCAGUAUCCAUUUACUUAUAUUUGAUACACAAAUGUGUUGAAGGAAAUUUUUGAAGGGCUGGGCCUGGUCAAUGAACUAGGCCCAGCCUUCUUGGCCAAGUCAGUGAGUUUUUUAGAUACAUGACAAAUGUGUCGAAGGCCAAGCAAAGCAUUGAUACACAUGGCCAAUAUGCAUUUGAAAGACGUGCCGUAGCAAUGGAAAUUGCCAAGGUGAGGAGGUAGCCACAGGGGCAGAGGAAAAGGAAGCAGGUGCUAAAUGUUCUUAUAUAUAUGUAUACUUUUGAAAAAAUUUAAUUUUAGUUAUUGGCCCUAUGCAAAAUAAUUUAUAUUAUCUUAUCAUAACUUAGGUAACAUAAAAUACUCAACUCAACU